CCUACGGGUGGCAGCAGUGGGGAAUAUUGCACAAUGGGGGAAACCCUGAUGCAGCGACGCCGCGUGAGUGAAGAAGUAUUUCGGUAUGUAAAGCUCUAUCAGCAGGGAAGAUAAUGACGGUACCUGACUAAGAAGCCCCGGCUAAAUACGUGCCAGCAGCCGCGGUAAUACGUAGGGGGCAAGCGCUAACCGGAUUGACUGGGGGGAAAGGGAGCGUAGGUGGCAGGGCAAGUCAGAGGUGAAAAGCCGGGGCUUAACCCCGGGAGUGCAUUUGAAACUGUCCAGCUGGAGUGCAGGAGAGGUGAGCGGAAUUCCUGGUGUAGCGGUGAAAUGCAUAGAUAGUAGGAGGAACACCAGUGGCGAAGGCGGCUUACUGGACUGUAACUGACGCUGAGGCUCGAAAGCGUGGGGAGCAAACAGGAUUAGAUACCCGGGUAGUC
This 440-nucleotide ribosomal RNA is filed under the name uncultured bacterium. RNAcentral's name for it is "partial 16S ribosomal RNA". It matches the Rfam family "Bacterial small subunit ribosomal RNA", at positions 338 to 795 of the family's 1533-position model. The record is from RNAcentral.